Molecule: ribosomal RNA, 406 nt
Filed under: uncultured bacterium
Lineage: Bacteria
Description: partial 16S ribosomal RNA
Rfam family: Bacterial small subunit ribosomal RNA
Source: RNAcentral
AUUGAACGCUGGCGGCAGGCCUAACACAUGCAAGUCGAACGAGUGGCGGACGGGUGAGUAAUGUCUGGGAAACUGCCCGAUGGAGGGGGAUAAGUACUGGAAACGGUAGCUAAUACCGCAUACCAUCAGAUGUGCCCAGAUGGGAUUAGCUAGUAGGUGGGGUAACGGCUCACCUAGGCGACGUUCCCUAGCUGGUCUGAGAGGAUGCCCAGCCAGACGGGAUCUGAGAGACGGUCCAGACUCCUACGGGAGGCAGCAGUGGGGAAUAUUGCACAAUGGGGGCAAGCCUGAUGCAGCCAUGCCGCGUGUAUGAAGAAGGCCUGCGGGUGGUAAAGUACUGUCAGCGAGGAGGCGUUACUCGCAGAAGAAGCACCGGCUAACUCCGUGCCAGCAGCCGCGGUAAUUC